Passer domesticus (house sparrow) is the source of this 622-nucleotide long non-coding RNA. RefSeq lists it as uncharacterized. The transcript is spliced from 2 exons. NCBI's taxonomy places the organism in Eukaryota, Metazoa, Chordata, Aves, Passeriformes, Passeridae. The record is from RefSeq and is a predicted model, not a curated record.
CUCGUCCUCAGUCAACCUCUUGUUACUGGUGGGCUCUGAGCUGCAUCUCCUGGGACCGUUUGAUUGACCUGUUUUAUAAUUUGCUGUCUCCUCGGCUCCUACUGACUGAGGGGACGUUGCGGAGCAGUUAGGCAAGGGGGUUGUUUGACAGAGAAUGCAGACAUCUGAGAUCCUGCAGCACCUGCUCGAUGUGCAGAAGGGCCAAACUUCCACUGGGAAGGAUGCUUGGACAGCUCCAGUGCUCUCCUAUGCCAGGACCUCUCCUGGGUCCAACCCUCUCUGCAUCUGGAGGAUCCCUAAUCCUCCCUGAGCCCCUCAGUGCCUUUAGCCCCUCAUUUUCCCUGAAUCACCCUAACAAUCACCCACAGAACAAUGCCACUAUUACAUUGUGAGAUACCUCUUCACAAACUCAUCUCUACAGACAUUGUAGCAACAGCAUUAAAUAUCCUUAGUUUAAAAAAAAAAAAAAAUCUAUUCCUUCAGCAGGAAAAAUAUGUAGUGGUCAAAAUAAUUGAAAGAAUGGUGGUGGGUAGAGAUUUACUUAUAAAUACUUGACUUCAAGUGGUUAAUUGUUCUACUCAUCAGCAUUUAGACAAAUAAAUUACUUGAGUUUGAAAAUGUA